GUCUCUGUAGCUCAGUCGGUUCCAGCGCUGCACCGGAAUCACAGGGACGCAUAUUCAAUUCCUGCCAGAGGCC
Non-coding RNA from Paramuricea clavata, 73 nucleotides. Lineage: Eukaryota; Metazoa; Cnidaria; Anthozoa; Malacalcyonacea; Plexauridae. The record is from the annotation of a GenBank genome assembly.